AAGUCGUAACAAGGUUUCCGUAGGUGAACCUGCGGAAGGAUCAUUAGUGAACGCCCUCACGGGCUUAUAACUAUUCCAAACCUCUGUGAACCGUGCCCUUCGGGGCUAUUUUACAAACAUGGUGUAAUGAACGUCAUAUAUCAUAACAAAACAAAACUUUCAACAACGGAUCUCUUGGCUCUCGCAUCGAUGGAGAACGCAGCGAAAUGCGAUAAGUAAUGUGAAUUGCAGAAUUCAGUGAAUCAUCGAAUCUUUGAACGCACCUUGCGCCCUCUGGUAUUCCGGAGGGCAUGCCUGUUUGAGUGUCAUGUAGACUCAAUCCCUCGGGUUUCCGAGGAGAUUGGACUUGGGUGUUGCCGCUCUGCCGGCUCGCCUUAAAAGACUUAGCGGGAUAGCACCGUAGUCGGCGUAAUAAGUUUCGUCGGUGAAGGUUGUGAUGACUGCUUACAAUCGCCCUUGGGCAAUUUUUGACUCUGACCUCAAAUCAGGUAGGACUACCCGCUGAACUUAA
This 511-nucleotide ribosomal RNA is filed under the name uncultured fungus. Its description in RNAcentral is "eukaryotic LSU rRNA". The stretch from base 155 to 308 matches the Rfam family "5.8S ribosomal RNA". Lineage: Eukaryota; Fungi. The record is from RNAcentral.